GACGAACGCUGGCGGCGUGCUUAACACAUGCAAGUCGAACGGAAAGGCCCUGCUUUUGUGGGGUGCUCGAGUGGCGAACGGAUGAGUAACACGUGAGUAACCUGCCCUUGACUUUGGGAUAACUUCAGGAAACUGGGGCUAAUACUGGAUAGGAGCUCCUGCUGCAUGGUGGGGGUUGGAAAGUUUCGGCGGUUGGGGAUGGACUCGCGGCUUAUCAGCUUGUUGGUGGGGUAGUGGCUUACCAAGGCUUUGACGGGUAGCCGGCCUGAGAGGGUGACCGGCCACAUUGGGACUGAGAUACGGCCCAGACUCCUACGGGAGGCAGCAGUGGGGAAUAUUGCACAAUGGGCGGAAGCCUGAUGCAGCAACGCCGCGUGCGGGAUGACGGCCUUCGGGUUGUAAACCGCUUUCGCCUGUGACGAAGCGUGAGUGACGGUAAUGGGUAAAGAAGCACCGGCUAACUACGUG
Molecule: ribosomal RNA, 468 nt
Filed under: uncultured bacterium
Lineage: Bacteria
Description: partial 16S ribosomal RNA
Rfam family: Bacterial small subunit ribosomal RNA
Source: RNAcentral